Molecule: long non-coding RNA, 2325 nt
Organism: Rosa chinensis
Lineage: Eukaryota; Viridiplantae; Streptophyta; Magnoliopsida; Rosales; Rosaceae
Exons: 9
Source: RefSeq, a predicted model, not a curated record
AUUGAUCAUGGCAAACGCUUGGUUCAUGAUGAUACGGACAAAGCCAUCGUGCUUAUUCAACAAAAUCUGACUCCCGUUUGCAAAGCGCUUCAUAAGUGAGAUGAGAUCAAAUUACUACUUGGAGACUAUAAAUCUCUUGGGUUCCAAGCGAAGCCGAGAAAGAUGUUCUUAUUGCUAUCUAAUGCAGCAUAUAUCUGUGUGGUGUUUGCACAUUGGGAGAACAAAAUAACAAUCGGUUUAAUAUGACGGUCUCCACUAAGAGAAAAAACUAAGGGUGGCAGAAUUGUUGGUGAAUAUUAAAAGGCAUGUUCUAGUUCCUGAGCAUCGGGUUCUUACAAAUGAGGAAAAAAAGACUUUGCUGGAGAGGUACAAUGUGAAAGAAACUCAGCUUCCUCGUAUUCAGCUGAUUGAUCCAAUUGCAAGUUAUUACGGGCUUAAGUGUGGACAAGUUGUGAAGAUAAUCCGGCCGAGUGAGAAUGCAGGAUGAUAUGUUACCUACCGUUACGUUAUCUAAGUGCUUUUAUUGUAAGCUGAAACCUGGAUUGCAUUAAUCUUAUUUAUAAUUGUCGUGAUGGAAGGUUAGCUCAGAAAUGAACAUUGCAGUUAGGAUUUUGCGAAGAUCUCCAUUAGUGAAAUGGGUUCAAAAUGCCUCUUGGAGAAUUGAAGGAGUGGAGGGUGGAAGCCAUGCCUAGUCUUCAGAGAUUGCGCAUUUAAUGGUGCGAACAAUUGCGGGCAGUUCCAGAUGGGCUUCAGCCUUCAGGAGAUUACUACCCUACAGAUGAUGAGCGGGAAAUGGAGGAAGCUGCUGGUGUGUCUCAAGUAGUUGUGGGGCUGGUGACUCAUCAAGAAUCAAAUGUGGGCAGUAUGUGACUAAUUGAUUCAAUCCCGUUUUAUCAUACCAUAACCUUGCAUUUUUUAUUUUAUUUUAUUUUGAUAUUGUGAUCAAAUUAAGAUAUUAUUUACUAAAGUUUUUACUGAUCACUUUUCUAACGUUUAUUAAUGUAUUUCUGCUGGUAUUUCUUGAUUAUGACGAGCUCCUCCUCCUCCUCCUGAUGAAAAAACAGAGGAAACACAAGCUGCUUCCACUCCUUGUUGAAAUCAACUAGUUCGUUCUAUAAACCAAGCAGCGCUUGGGUACUUUUGGCAGCCUGUUUUUUAUUGGCUAUUUGCUAUUGUGAGAUUGUGCACUGAACAGUGAACACUAAAAUUGGCCCACAUGUUAUGGCCUUUUCUCACAUAAGGUAGCCCAUUCUAUGUUCUUUGGGCGUUUUCAAAUAGACAAUCCCAUAGGACCCGCCUUUAAUUCUUCCUCACCCUAAUUAAUUCUCCAUUCCCUCUCUUUCUUCUGAGCGCUGCUGUGAGUUGUGUCUCCUCCUUCCUCAAUCUUCAACCCCGAGUCUCCCUCAUCACUUCACACAGAUUAGUCACACAGGUUUUAUAAUCUUUCAGCUAAAUGAUGGAUUGAACUGAAGAAGAAAGUACGAGGCUUUUUAGAGCUAGAAAAACAGUGAUAUAUGCAAAUGCUGAAAGAUCGGGACUACAUAAUUUCAGAUUGUGAUAUCAACAUUACAUUGCCACUGUUCAAGAACAAAUAUGGAGAGAAAUGAAAAGGGAAGACCUUACUAUGAAUAGAAGGAAGCGAGGUCGCAACUCUGAUCAGAUUUAUGUGUUUUUCCCUAAAGAACCAACAGUUGGGGUCAAGACAAUCAAGAAUUACAUCAAACGCUUGGUUCAGGAGGAUACGGACAAAGGCAUCGUGGAUUUCAACAAAAUCUGACUCCUUUUGCCAAACUCUUCAUAAGUAAGAAAAUUUCAGGAGGCAAAAUUGUUGGUUCAAAAGCAUAUUCUAGUUCCAGAGUAUCGGGAGGUUAAAAAUGAUGUAAAGAAGACUUUGUUGGAGAGGGAAGAAACACAGGGGUGAGCAUAAGACUAUCUUUGCUAGAAAAAUUUCAACAAGCUUGACUGGAACACUCAAAAUGUCACGAAGUUUGAGGCUUACCAAGAUUAGUACGACAAGUCUUUUUUUUUUUUGGUCUAAGUACAACACAUAUCAUAACUGCCAUUUUACCUAAAACUCCAACAGUAGUGUUUAAUUUGAUAUCUUGAUGCCAUUUUCUGAUCCAAAAUAAAAGCUCUAGUUGCUAUGGAAACUGAGUGUAGCCCUUACAUUUGAAGUCAAUAGAGGGUAAUCAAAUGAGAUCUUGGAAGAAGUCGCAGUUCGUGUACCAUAUCAUACAAGUUAUACUCAUUCUUUAAUGUACAAAUGAAAUCCCAAGAUUUUAUCGGAUGCUUAUAUAUUUUUAAUUUGAGUGUAUUUAUUUCUUA